This 605-nucleotide ribosomal RNA is filed under the name Escherichia coli. Its description in RNAcentral is "partial 23S ribosomal RNA". It matches the Rfam family "Bacterial large subunit ribosomal RNA", at positions 1119 to 1726 of the family's 2925-position model. The record is from RNAcentral. Lineage: Bacteria; Pseudomonadati; Pseudomonadota; Gammaproteobacteria; Enterobacterales; Enterobacteriaceae.
UCAUUUAAAGAAAGCGUAAUAGCUCACUGGUCGAGUCGGCCUGCGCGGAAGAUGUAACGGGGCUAAACCAUGCACCGAAGCUGCGGCAGCGACACUAUGUGUUGUUGGGUAGGGGAGCGUUCUGUAAGCCUGUGAAGGUGGCCUGUGAGGGUUGCUGGAGGUAUCAGAAGUGCGAAUGCUGACAUAAGUAACGAUAAAGCGGGUGAAAAGCCCGCUCGCCGGAAGACCAAGGGUUCCUGUCCAACGUUAAUCGGGGCAGGGUGAGUCGACCCCUAAGGCGAGGCCGAAAGGCGUAGUCGAUGGGAAACAGGUUAAUAUUCCUGUACUUGGUGUUACUGCGAAGGGGGGACGGAGAAGGCUAUGUUGGCCGGGCGACGGUUGUCCCGGUUUAAGCGUGUAGGCUGGUUUUCCAGGCAAAUCCGGAAAACCAAGGCUGAGGCGUGAUGAUGAGGCACUACGGUGCUGAAGCGACAAAUGCCCUGCUUCCAGGAAAAGCCUCUAAGCAUCAGGUAACAUCAAAUCGUACCCCAAACCGACACAGGUGGUCAGGUAGAGAAUACCAAGGCGCUUGAGAGAACUCGGGUGAAGGAACUAGGCAAAAUGGU